CUCCCACCUCAGACUCCUGAGCAGCUGGGACCACAGCAAAUAUUCUCAGAGCUCUUUGUGAUAUCUUGGGGAAAACAGUCAAGAAGGCAGAUAAACGGAAUGACAAUGUUUUGGCAAAGUGACUUAGAAGGGUGAGGCGUGGCUUAGGCCUAGGAAGCAUCUGAUACGUGGCACCCUGGCCCUGUGAAUUUGGGCAGGGCAGCCAGGGCUGGGUUGUUCCUGUAGGUCAGAGUGAGGAAACAGACAGAAAACGACCGACGGUCUGUGCACGCGGAAGUGAACAGCCACUUGGGGCCACCACAGACUGCGGUACUUUCUUCACAGCCCUAUCAAGACGAACCUUCCCUGUCUUAUCAUAGUAGGCUGGAUUUUGGACACAGCAAGAAAGCAGGGAACUGCUGACACUCCUAGCCUCUGCUGCAUGGCCCAGAAGAGUUGUGUCCAAGUCCAGUUCCUCAGUGAAACCUCAUGACAACACGGAAAGGAGGGUGAGAAGGGUGAGAAGCCGUUCACUGUGUUUACUUGUGAGGAAACGAGAACAGUAGUGAGCAGGGGACUUUCUUCCUCUGUUCUGAAUUGGGUACAGAUCAGUCAGGGUGGAGAGUCAACAGCUAAGAGUCCAAUUGGGCCAUUUAACAGAAUUUGAUGAAGGACCAUGUGUAAAGCAUGGAUAGGAUACAGAGAAAUGUUACAGACAGUCCUCUGGACGAUAAACAGUGGGCACCAUGACUAGCCUUGGGCUGGGAGGGAGGAAGAGGGGGGUGGUGACUUGGAGAGAUGGAACUCUUGGGCACAUCCCCUGGCAGAAGCUGAAACCUUUGGGAGAGGAAUGCAGCUGGCCCAUGACUCUGUAAGGAGAAGCCUGGGUGGUUAAUGGCCUGACCCCUUUCUCCUCUGCCAGCUCCCACCAGCCAGCCCAGCAAGAAGCCAGAGGGCAAGGGGACCCAGAGCAGGGUGGCAGCAGAUGAAGGAGGGAGGCAUGAAUCAGGGAAAGUGGAGGGAAGAUACCAACACACUGUGGGGGUUCUGUAGGGUUUAUAUCUUUGGCAAUAAGAAUGUAUGUGUAUAUUUUCUGUGAAACACACACGUAGAUUCCUAGGCAAAUCAGCUUCUAAAUGAAAAGCCACCAUGACCCGUAUCUCUCUGGGACUAGCCUAUCUACUCGAGAAAUGCAUGUUACAUUUCUGUGAAAACACACAUUUUUAAAUCUUCCAUAGGAAUGUUAAUGGAAUCCUUGCAUGUUAAUCUUGAAAUAUUUUUAAUUUUUUUUUUUUUUCAGUAAGAGAAACAUACAGUUAAUGAGGGCCCCCGACUUAUUUUAUUUUUGUAUGGACUCUAAAGUGUGUACCAAGGAUUGACCUAAAAUAAAAUCACUUCAUUGAAACGCUAGCACAGCCACCUGCUCGUAUCCCAAGCAAAGCGAUUUUAGAAGUUCAUUUGAGCCUGGCAUGGUGGCUCAUGCCUGUAAUCCCAGCACUUAGAGAGGCCAAGGCAGGUGGAUCACUUAGGCCCAGGUGUUCAAGACCAGCCUGGGCAACAUGGCAGGAUCCCAUUUCUACAAAAAAUAAAAAAAUUGGCUGGGCAUGGUGGUGUGUGCCUGUGGUCCCAGCAGCAUGAGAGUCUGUGGUGGGAGGAUUGCUAGAGUCCAAGAGGUCGAGGCUACAGUGAGCCGUGUGUGUGAAACACAGUGAGACCCCAUCUCAAAAAAAUUUUUUUUUUCAAAUUCAGGAAUAAUUUUUCUGAAAUCCUACCGUUAACAUUUUUACUGAACAUCCUCUGAGACCUAGCUCUAUAGACGUGUGAAUAUAAGGAAAGAAUUUUACAUAAGCGAGAUUGAUUGACAUCUGCUGUUCUAUAUCUCGUUUUCUGCAAUCAACCAUAUAUUGCAUCAUCUUUCCACUUAUAUAAAUCUAAGUCUCAUGAUC
Long non-coding RNA from Cebus imitator (Panamanian white-faced capuchin), 1925 nucleotides. RefSeq lists it as uncharacterized. The record is from RefSeq and is a predicted model, not a curated record. Lineage: Eukaryota; Metazoa; Chordata; Mammalia; Primates; Cebidae. The transcript is spliced from 2 exons.